GUCCUGGGAGCAUUUCUUGGUUUAUUGCUGCUAGGCUAAGUCGGCGGGCGUUGGUGUCAGCAUUUCUUGUUGGAACCGUGGGUUCAGUUUUUACUACAUCAAGUGUCGAGGCACUGGUGGACGGGCACAGCAAAGCUUGGGUCCUGUUACCUUUAGCCACUUGGAGCUAAGCCGGUGCGAGUGGCGACAGCAGCAGCGGUGCGUGUUUUAGUUCAUUUAGUGUGCAAUAAGGAUUCUGGAUCUGUAGCAGAGGAACAGUCAAGCCGAGUGUCAGAUUACUUGUAUGGUGAGCAGAUAUUGACAUUAAAAUAAAUAAAACCACCGACAGUUUGUUCCACAGGAAUGUCACAGAAGAAAGUACCAGUGGUUUCUGAAAGCACUGCAACUGAAAGCUGUACUGUUGGCCUAUCCAGUUCUGGCACAGCAGAAUCAAGGAAGAGGGCCGAAGUUCCACGAAGAGCAGCAGUGCUGUACAGAAUGGGUUUGCUACAGGAAAAAGAAACUGAACCGCCAUUGAAGUUAAAAAUGGAUAUGAGAGAGGACAUGGAAGACCAGGAGGGAAGAGUUAUCAGCUUUUAUAAGGUCCCUAAAGUAGACUGAGCCAGACCACUCUACUGCAAACUGAAAGGUAAAUUGAGCUUUUAGAUGAUUUGUUCUUAAAUGACCUUACUUUGAAACUAUAUGAUCUGCUUGUGUAAAAUAUUAUUGACAACUUGUCUUUUGAGCUAUUUACUCUUAUAUAUAAAGGUGAUUUAGCCACUGGAGAGGGUGUUAAACACCAUUUCUUCAGCAUUGUAAUACACAAGUUGCAAAGGGGAUUCAUCACAGAUUUUGGUUGUUCAAAAAGUGUUCUUAUAAAAGAGGUGAACUUUUCUGUGCAAUAACCUGCAUGAAUAAAGGAGAAACAUGUACCAUAUGUUUGCCAUUCUUCCUGCAGGACAUGGAACCAGCAUUGUGCUUUUUGAGGGCCAAGUUAAUCACCUAGUCCCAUGCAUCUCUCAAGUUCUUGUGUGGAGUGAUUUGUUCUUAAUAGCAGGGAGGAUGAUUGGCCACUCCUUUCUCCAUGGUGGCCAACUGCUUGCUGGUCUGAGCCCAGCAAUUAUCCAUGUACUAUUAGGUGGUUCCCUGCAGACAGCAGCCAUCCUGCUUGAAGAUGUGGUAGACAUUGACAUACGGGAGACAUUACAGCUUGUAGGUUUGGAGUGUAGUGGGAUGUGCAUAUGCCAUUUCAGCUACUCAAGUUAAACGUUUCAUGUUUAUGCAUAAAGUUAUAUACAGGCAACGAGGAGUUAGAUGAUGCGAAGAAAGAUAAAGAGCUAAAUGACGACAAGAGGGGAGCUGUUAAUCAACAGGCAUUAUCUUGGGACCUUCCCGUACUGACAGCAACAAACCGUACCUGGCUCUUGCACAGUUUACUUCAGCAUGCUAUGCUCACUCGAACCUCACAAGUAAAGCAGCUCAGGCAGGGACUGAAGGCGUCAAUGAUAUGGCCACUGUUCAGGCCAGGCCAGAACACUCAACAGCUGAAUGCAAUGCUCAGGUUUACCAUUCCAUAUCCACAUCUCUUAACCUUUAUACACUUAAUCAAUCCAUUAAUGGUACUGUAUAAUCUAUUACAUUUAUGUAGUUCUAGACAACAUCACCAAGCAAGGAAGAAAUGGAUAACGAUGAUGGCUUCCCAGUCGCUGUCAAAUACAGAAUUGCUGGCUACCCAUGGCAGUUUGUGGAGACUGUAACCCAAGACAAAUUGAAGCAGUUGGUAAAAUUGUGGGUGGGCUGGGAGCUGCCCAUGAAAGACAUACAAGUGGAAGUGAUGCAGGCAGCCCAUCCAUAAUCGUCCACCUGCUUUCAUAUCCUGCGCUUACCUGAUCACCACACAAGCUAAGGUCUCUAAUCAUUUGGAAGGUUGUAUUGCUUGUAAUGACAGUGGGUUUGGACUGAUAUAAUUAUGUAGGAGAAGAAGCAUCAUGUGGUAAGGGGUUUUUGCAGUUAUUAAUUGCAGUUAUGAAAUACACUCAUAUGUUUAAAUAUGCAACUUUUUAUUUUACUUACAAAGACCUUUUUGUUAUGUCAAUUCAUGUUAAACAUAUUGUUGGUUCACUUGUAAUCAUUUCAUUGUCCAGGUUAUAAUACUUUAGAUGUUUUAAGCCUUUUAGAUGUUUUAGGAAAACUAUUCAGCCAUUUAAUAGCUCUUUAGACAAGUUGAGGUAAAAAAAAAAACUAAAUGUACCCAAUGUUUUGUAUGUACUGCAGUGCCGCUAAAUAAAUAUCAGCACCAAAA
Long non-coding RNA from Colossoma macropomum (tambaqui), 2281 nucleotides. RefSeq lists it as uncharacterized. The transcript has 6 exons. The record is from RefSeq and is a predicted model, not a curated record. Lineage: Eukaryota; Metazoa; Chordata; Actinopteri; Characiformes; Serrasalmidae.